GAUGAAGAACGCAGCGAAAUGCGAUAAGUAAUGAGAAUUGCAGAAUUCCGUGAAUCAUCGAAUCUUUGAACGCACAUUGCGCCCCCUGGUAUUCCGGGGGGCAUGCCUGUCCGAGCGUCAUUGCAACCCUCAAGCGCGGCUUGCGUGUUGGGCGCCGUCCCCCGUGGACGCGCCCGAAAGGCAGUGGCGGUACCGUGCUCCGGUGCCCGAGCGUAUGGGCUUAAAACCCGCUCUUGUGGCCCGGCCGGCGCUGGCCUCGACCCCCAACUUUACAAGGUUGACCUCGGAUCAGGUAGGGAUACCCGCUGAACUUAAGCAUAUCAAUAAGCGGAGGA
Molecule: unclassified non-coding RNA, 335 nt
Filed under: soil metagenome
Description: partial contains 5.8S ribosomal RNA, internal transcribed spacer 2, and large subunit ribosomal RNA
Rfam family: 5.8S ribosomal RNA (bases 1-120)
Source: RNAcentral